CCUACGGGUGGCUGCAGUGAGGAACCUUCCACAAUGGACGAAAGUCUGAUGGAGCGACACCGCGUGAAGGAUGAAGGCCUAACGGUUGUAAACUUCUUUUCUGAAGGAGCAUAAUGAGAGUACUUCAGGAAUAAGGGACGGCUAAAUACGUGCCAGCAGCCGCGGUAAUACGUAUGUCUCGAGCGUUACCCGGAAUCACUGGGUGUAAAGGGUUCGUAGGCGGAUCUAUAAGUCAGAUAUGAAGGACCGGAGCUCAACUCCGUGUUUGUGUUUGAAACUGUAGAUCUAGAAUUAGGGAGAGGUAAGCGGAGUUCUAAGUGUAGGGGUGCAAUCCGUAGAUACUUAGAGGAACACCAAAAGCGAAGGCAGCUUACUGGAACUAUAUUGACGCUGAGGAACGAAAGCGUGGGGAGCGAAAAGGAUUAGAUACCCGUGUAGUC
This 440-nucleotide ribosomal RNA is filed under the name uncultured bacterium. RNAcentral's name for it is "bacterial SSU rRNA". It matches the Rfam family "Bacterial small subunit ribosomal RNA", at positions 338 to 795 of the family's 1533-position model. The record is from RNAcentral.